This 497-nucleotide ribosomal RNA is filed under the name uncultured bacterium. Its description in RNAcentral is "partial 16S ribosomal RNA". It matches the Rfam family "Bacterial small subunit ribosomal RNA", at positions 28 to 507 of the family's 1533-position model. The record is from RNAcentral.
GAUGAACGCUGGCGGCGUGCCUAAUACAUGCAAGUCGAGCGAACAGAUAAGGAGCUUGCUCCUUUGACGUUAGCGGCGGACGGGUGAGUAACACGUGGGUAACCUACCUAUAAGACUGGGAUAACUUCGGGAAACCGGAGCUAAUACCGGAUAAUAUUUCGAACCGCAUGGUUCGAUAGUGAAAGAUGGUUUUGCUAUCACUUAUAGAUGGACCCGCGCCGUAUUAGCUAGUUGGUAAGGUAACGGCUUACCAAGGCGACGAUACGUAGCCGACCUGAGAGGGUGAUCGGCCACACUGGAACUGAGACACGGUCCAGACUCCUACGGGAGGCAGCAGUAGGGAAUCUUCCGCAAUGGGCGAAAGCCUGACGGAGCAACGCCGCGUGAGUGAUGAAGGUCUUCGGAUCGUAAAACUCUGUUAUUAGGGAAGAACAUACGUGUGAGUAACUGUGCACGUCUUGACGGUACCUAAUCAGAAAGCCACGGCUAACUACGUG